GGAGAGAUGCCCGAGAGGCCGAAGGGGCACGACUGGAAAUCGUGUGUGCGUUUAAAAAGCGCACCGUGGGUUCGAAUCCCACUCUCUCCG
This 90-nucleotide transfer RNA is filed under the name Candidatus Desulfofervidus auxilii. It matches the Rfam family "tRNA". Rfam says of the family: Transfer RNA (tRNA) molecules are approximately 80 nucleotides in length. Their secondary structure includes four short double-helical elements and three loops (D, anti-codon, and T loops). The record is from Rfam by way of RNAcentral. Lineage: Bacteria; Pseudomonadati; Thermodesulfobacteriota; Candidatus Desulfofervidia; Candidatus Desulfofervidales; Candidatus Desulfofervidaceae.